CUGCGAUUGGUGCUGCCUGGCGGCGGGGCGCGGGGCACGCUGGGACGUCUCGCUGGCGGGAGGCCACGGGCUUUCCACAGCGCGGGGGAACGAGAGGCUGCAGGAUGGUCAAGCUGACGGCGGAGCUGAUCGAGCAGGCGGCGCAGUACACUAACGCGGUGCGCGACCGGGAGCUGGACCUCCGGGGGUAUAAAAUUCCCGUCAUUGAAAAUCUAGGUGCUACUUUAGACCAGUUUGAUGCUAUUGAUUUUUCUGACAAUGAGAUCAGGAAACUGGAUGGUUUUCCUUUGUUGAGAAGACUGAAAACAUUGUUAGUGAACAACAACAGAAUAUGCCGUAUAGGUGAGGGACUUGAUCAGGCUCUGCCCUGUCUGACAGAACUCAUUCUCACCAAUAAUAGUCUCGUGGAACUGGGUGAUCUGGACCCUCUGGCAUCUCUCAAAUCGCUGACUUACCUAAGUAUCCUAAGAAAUCCGGUAACCAAUAAGAAGCAUUACAGAUUGUAUGUGAUUUAUAAAGUUCCGCAAGUCAGAGUACUGGAUUUCCAGAAAGUGAAACUAAAAGUAAGUAGUAAUCUGCUGCUUGUGAGUCAUUAUAGAGUUGUGUGUUUUUCUUUAUAUUUUUAUUACUGAUUAUUAAAAUUGUCUAAAUGAGUAAAUUUUACCAUUAGUUUGUAAUAAAAGUGGGAGAGAAAAUGGUACAUCAGAUUUUUUUCUAAUAGCAGAGUUUAUGAUAGAACUUUUAAGUUGGAGCUCUUUUAUGUAAUGCUGGCUAUUCCAAAGUUUGCAAAAUGUUGAGGCCACGGUGAACAUUCUUAACAGUGGAUUGUCUGCUUGGAUACAUUCCCAGUGGAGAAUUUAAUGUAACCCACUUUUGUGCAGCUCUGUUUGUUAGAAUGAUUUUUCCGUUUAUUAGGAAUUCAUUAUUUUAUCAUUCAUUUAAUUGCCUUCUUGGUUCCCUGGGAUCCCCUCCUUGGAACUAGGAGAAUGAACUUUCUUCAGGGAGCUUUACCAAAGAAAGAAGACUACUGUGUCUUCUCUUAAUUUGAAAUUGCUUUUUGGUAUUUUCACCAGCCCGGAGUAUUGUAGGAGAGUUCGCUUCCAUGUCUUCUGAGGAAUGCAUCUAAAUGCAUGUGGUAUUCCUAUUUCCAUUAACUCUGUGUGUGGUGUCGCUGUAGGAGCGUCAGGAAGCAGAGAAAAUGUUCAAGGGCAAACGGGGUGCACAGCUUGCAAAGGAUAUUGCCAGGAGAAGCAAAACGUAAGACACGGAUAUCCAACUUAACUCUUCUUCACCUUCAGAAACAUGAUCUGAUCUGUCUGGCAGUUCGUCUCCUACAAAAUUAACCAAAAACUGUGACAUAUUAAUGUGGUAUUAAAUUUGAGUGCUUAUAGUCCAUGUACAUCAAUGGUCCAUACAUCACAAGAAAUUUCUACCAGCUUAGCAGAGCAAAUAUUUCAGUAGUCAGUCUUCAUGUGAUACCAUGUACAUCCUAUUUUCUAUAUAGGAAGAUGAACUGGAUGGUGUUUCUGAAGGAGAGAGUUCUUGUAUCAGUUUGUUAACAAAGAUAAGAUACUACACUGGUUGAAUUACUUUCAAAAGCUUUUGAAAGUAAAAGAGAAGCAACUUCUGUUGGUCUAGGUUUAACAGUUAUGUUCUUCCCCCUGUUAAGUUUUAAUCCAGGUGCUGGUUUGCCAACUGACAAAAAGAAAGGUGGGCCAUCUCCAGGGGAUGUAGAAGCAAUCAAGAACGCUAUAGCAAAUGCUUCAACUCUGGCUGAAGUGGAGAGGCUGAAGGGGUUGCUGCAGUCUGGUCAGAUCCCUGGCAGAGAACGCAGAUCGGGGCCCACUGAUGAUGGUGAAGAAGAGAUGGAAGAAGACACAGUCACAAACGGGUCCUGAGCAGUGAGGCAGAUGUAUAAUAAUAGGCCCUCUUGGAACAAGUCUUGCUUUUCGAACAUGGUAUAAUAGCCUUGUUUGUGUUAGCAAAGUGGAAUCUAUCAGCAUUGUUGAAAUGCUUAAGACUGCUGCUGAUAAUUUUGUAAUAUAAGUUUUGAAAUCUAAAUGUCAGUUUUCUACAAAUUAUAAAAAUAAACUCCACUCACUGUGCUA
This 2108-nucleotide small RNA is filed under the name Pongo abelii (Sumatran orangutan). RNAcentral describes it as "retained intron". Lineage: Eukaryota; Metazoa; Chordata; Mammalia; Primates; Hominidae. The record is from RNAcentral.